GGAGGGGGCGAGCGUUAUUCGGAAUUAUUGGGCGUAAAGGGCGCGUAGGCGGUUCGAUAAGUCAAAGGUGAAAUCCCUCGGCUCAACUGAGGAACUGCCUUUGAAACUGUCGAGCUUGAGUCCGGGAGGGGGUAGCGGAAUUCCCAGUGUAGCGGUGAAAUGCGUAGAUAUUGGGAGGAACACCGGUGGCGAAGGCGGCUACCUGGACCGGAACUGACGCUGAUGCGCGAAAGCGUGGGUAGCAAACAGGAUUAGAUACCCUGGUAGUCCACGCUGUAAACGAUGGGUGCUCGGUGUCGCGGGUAUCGACCCCUGCGGUGCCUUAGCUAACGCGUUAAGCACCCCGCCUGGGGAGUACGGUCGCAAGGCUGAA
Molecule: ribosomal RNA, 373 nt
Filed under: uncultured bacterium
Lineage: Bacteria
Description: bacterial SSU rRNA
Rfam family: Bacterial small subunit ribosomal RNA
Source: RNAcentral